This 541-nucleotide ribosomal RNA is filed under the name Alcaligenes faecalis subsp. faecalis. RNAcentral's name for it is "bacterial SSU rRNA". It matches the Rfam family "Bacterial small subunit ribosomal RNA", at positions 383 to 917 of the family's 1533-position model. The record is from RNAcentral. Lineage: Bacteria; Pseudomonadati; Pseudomonadota; Betaproteobacteria; Burkholderiales; Alcaligenaceae.
CUGAUCCAGCCAUCCCGCGUGUAUGAUGAAGGCCUUCGGGUUGUAAAGUACUUUUGGCAGAGAAGAAAAGGUACCUCCUAAUACGAGGUACUGCUGACGGUAUCUGCAGAAUAAGCACCGGCUAACUACGUGCCAGCAGCCGCGGUAAUACGUAGGGUGCAAGCGUUAAUCGGAAUUACUGGGCGUAAAGCGUGUGUAGGCGGUUCGGAAAGAAAGAUGUGAAAUCCCAGGGCUCAACCUUGGAACUGCAUUUUUAACUGCCGAGCUAGAGUAUGUCAGAGGGGGGUAGAAUUCCACGUGUAGCAGUGAAAUGCGUAGAUAUGUGGAGGAAUACCGAUGGCGAAGGCAGCCCCCUGGGAUAAUACUGACGCUCAGACACGAAAGCGUGGGGAGCAAACAGGAUUAGAUACCCUGGUAGUCCACGCCCUAAACGAUGUCAACUAGCUGUUGGGGCCGUUAGGCCUUAGUAGCGCAGCUAACGCGUGAAGUUGACCGCCUGGGGAGUACGGUCGCAAGAUUAAAACUCAAAGGAAUUGACGGA